GAAUUCCAGGUGUAGCGGUGAAAUGCGUAGAGAUCUGGAGGAAUACCGGUGGCGAAGGCGGCCCCCUGGACAAAGACUGACGCUCAGGUGCGAAAGCGUGGGGAGCAAACAGGAUUAGAUACCCUGGUAGUCCACGCCGUAAACGAUGUCGAUUUGGAGGUUGUGCCCUUGAGGCGUGGCUUCCGGAGCUAACGCGUUAAAUCGACCGCCUGGGGAGUACGGCCGCAAGGUUAAAACUCAAAUGAAUUGACGGGGGCCCGCACAAGCGGUGGAGCAUGUGGUUU
RNAcentral lists this ribosomal RNA (284 nucleotides) under Klebsiella pneumoniae. RNAcentral's name for it is "partial 16S ribosomal RNA". It matches the Rfam family "Bacterial small subunit ribosomal RNA", at positions 664 to 947 of the family's 1533-position model. The record is from RNAcentral. Lineage: Bacteria; Pseudomonadati; Pseudomonadota; Gammaproteobacteria; Enterobacterales; Enterobacteriaceae.